AGUGAACGCUGGCGGUAGGCCUAACACAUGCAAGUCGAACGGCAGCACAGUAAGAGCUUGCUCUUACGGGUGGCGAGUGGCGGACGGGUGAGGUAUACAUCGGAAUCUACUUUUUCGUGGGGGAUAACGUAGGGAAACUUACGCUAAUACCGCAUACGACCUACGGGUGAAAGCAGGGGAUCUUCGGACCUUGCGCGAUUGAAUGCGCCGAUGUCGGAUUAGCUAGUUGGCGGGGUAAAGGCCCACCAAGGCGACGAUCCGUAGCUGGUCUGAGAGGAUGAUCAGCCACACUGGAACUGAGACACGGUCCAGACUCCUACGGGAGGCAGCAGUGGGGAAUAUUGGACAAUGGGCGCAAGCCUGAUCCAGCCAUACCGCGUGGGUGAAGAAGGCCUUCGGGUUGUAAAGCCCUUUUGUUGGGAAAGAAAAGCAGCAGGUUAAUACCCCGCUGUUCUGACGGUACCCAAAGAAUAAGCACCGGCUAACUUCGUG
This 492-nucleotide ribosomal RNA is filed under the name uncultured bacterium. RNAcentral's name for it is "partial 16S ribosomal RNA". It matches the Rfam family "Bacterial small subunit ribosomal RNA", at positions 29 to 507 of the family's 1533-position model. The record is from RNAcentral.